RNAcentral lists this ribosomal RNA (497 nucleotides) under uncultured bacterium. RNAcentral describes it as "partial 16S ribosomal RNA". It matches the Rfam family "Bacterial small subunit ribosomal RNA", at positions 28 to 507 of the family's 1533-position model. The record is from RNAcentral.
GAUGAACGCUGGCGGCGUGCCUAAUACAUGCAAGUCGAGCGAACGGACGAGAAGCUUGCUUCUCUGAUGUUAGCGGCGGACGGGUGAGUAACACGUGGAUAACCUACCUAUAAGACUGGGAUAACUUCGGGAAACCGGAGCUAAUACCGGAUAAUAUUUUGAACCGCAUGAUUCAAAAGUGAAAGACGGUCUUGCUGUCACUUAUAGAUGGAUCCGCGCUGCAUUAGCUAGUUGGUAAGGUAACGGCUUACCAAGGCAACGAUGCAUAGCCGACCUGAGAGGGUGAUCGGCCACACUGAAAAUGAGACACGGUCCAGACUCCUACGAGAGGCAGCAGUAGGGAAUCUUCCGCAAUGGGCGAAAGCCUGACGGAGCAAAGCCGCGUGAGUGAUGAAGGUCUUCGGAUCGUAAAACUCUGUUAUUAGGGAAGAACAUAUGUGUAAGUAACUGUGCACAUCUUGACGGUACCUAAUCAGAAAGACACGGCUAACUACGUG